ACCUACGGGAGGCAGCAGUGGGGAAUAUUGCACAAUGGGGGAAACCCUGAUGCAGCGACGCCGCGUGAGUGAAGAAGUAUCUCGGUAUGUAAAGCUCUAUCAGCAGGAAAGAUAAUGACGGUACCUGACUAAGAAGCCCCGGCUAACUACGUGCCAGCAGCCGCGGUAAUACGUAGGGGGCAAGCGUUAUCCGGAUUUACUGGGUGUAAAGGGAGCGCAGGCGGCAGCGCAAGUCUGAUGUGAAAGCCCGGGGCCCAACCGCGGGACUGCAUUGGAAACUGCGCAGCUGGAGUGCCGGAGGGGUA
Molecule: ribosomal RNA, 305 nt
Filed under: uncultured bacterium
Lineage: Bacteria
Description: bacterial SSU rRNA
Rfam family: Bacterial small subunit ribosomal RNA
Source: RNAcentral